RNAcentral lists this transfer RNA (63 nucleotides) under Haloa japonica. Its description in RNAcentral is "tRNA-Val". The record is from RNAcentral. Lineage: Eukaryota; Metazoa; Mollusca; Gastropoda; Cephalaspidea; Haminoeidae.
AAAAGCGAAGUACUAAGUGCGCUUCACUUACAAUGAAGAAGUCAAGAUUUUCUUGCGCUUUUA